This 267-nucleotide non-coding RNA is filed under the name Limosilactobacillus coleohominis. RNAcentral describes it as "Lactobacillus coleohominis T-box sequence". It matches the Rfam family "T-box leader". Rfam says of the family: Uncharged tRNA acts as the effector for transcription antitermination of genes in the T-box leader family. T-boxes are found upstream of many aminoacyl-tRNA synthetase genes and some amino acid biosynthetic genes usually in Gram-positive bacteria. Lineage: Bacteria; Bacillati; Bacillota; Bacilli; Lactobacillales; Lactobacillaceae. The record is from RNAcentral.
UAAAAAAUGAUUAGAAAAGAUGAGUAAUCACUAAUUUCUGGCAAAGAGAGUCGUGGCUUGCUGAAAAACGAUCCUGAAAUGGUUGAUGAAGAUGGUCUUGUGAAAAUCUAACUAACGAGCACUAGUAAGUUGGUUACGGGGUGGCAACCGUUAUUCAGAGCUGCGGUUUACUGUUGACCUAAUUAAAAAUGGUGACCACAUGUGAACCGACUGAGGGUAUCUUGAGAUACUAAAUUAGGGUGGUAACACGUUACAGACGUCCCAAAG